AGGAACGCCUCGGGCNGGCCGAGGCCUCAACACAUGGCCAGAUUCGCAGACGGGAAACCAGAUUAUCCCGAACCUUCCGGGUAACGAUAACGGCGUCCAGACGGCGGACGGGUGAAUAAUGCCUAAGAAAUUGCCCUGAUGUGGGGGAUAACCAUUCGAAACCAUGGCUAAUACCGCAUGAUGCCUACGGGCCAAAGAGGGGGACCUUCGGGCCUCUCGCGUCAGGAUAUGCCUAGGUGGGAUUAGCUAGUUGGUGAGGUAAGGGCUCACCAAGGCGACGAUCCCUAACUGGUCUGAGAGGAUGAUCAACCACACUGGAACUGAAACACCGUCCAGACUCCUACGGGAGGCAGCAGUGGGGAAUAUUGCACAAUGGGCGCAAGCCUGAUGCAGCCAUGCCCCGUGUAUGAAAAAAGCCUUCGGGUUGUAAAAUACUUUCAGUCGUGAGGAAAGCGGCGUCCUUNAUAGCGGCCUUGUUUGACNUUAGCUACCGAAGAAGCACCGGCUAACUCCGUGCCAGCAGCCGCGGUUAUACCGAGGGUGCGAACGUUAAUCGGAAUUACUGGGCGUUAAGCGCAUGCCCGGUGGUUUGUUUAAAUUCAAAUGUGAAAGCCCCGGGCUCAACCUCGGAAUAACAUUUGAAACUGGCAAACUAAAGUACUGU
RNAcentral lists this ribosomal RNA (664 nucleotides) under Vibrio sp. SP00. RNAcentral describes it as "bacterial SSU rRNA". It matches the Rfam family "Bacterial small subunit ribosomal RNA", at positions 68 to 652 of the family's 1533-position model. The record is from RNAcentral. Lineage: Bacteria; Pseudomonadati; Pseudomonadota; Gammaproteobacteria; Vibrionales; Vibrionaceae.